UCUUGCUUACNCCAAGAAAAUGUAUGUGAAAACCAUACCGUUUUGA
This 46-nucleotide transfer RNA is filed under the name Engystomops petersi (Peters' dwarf frog). RNAcentral's name for it is "partial tRNA-Val". Lineage: Eukaryota; Metazoa; Chordata; Amphibia; Anura; Leptodactylidae. The record is from RNAcentral.